GGACUACAGGGGUAUCUAAUCCCGUUUGCUCCCCUGGCUUUCGCUCCUCAGCGUCAGAAUUGGUCCAGGAUGCCGCCUUCGCCACCGGUGUUCCUCCAGAUAUCUACGCAUUUCACCGCUACACCUGGAAUUCCGCAUCCCUCUCCCAACCUCAAGCCAUCCAGUAUCAGACGCAGUUCCCCGGUUAAGCCGAGGGAUUUCACGUCUGACUUAGUUGGCCACCUACGAGCCCUUUACGCCCAGUAAUUCCGAACAACGCUUGCACCCUCUGUAUUACCGCGGCUGCUGGCAC
This 292-nucleotide ribosomal RNA is filed under the name uncultured Acidobacteriota bacterium. RNAcentral's name for it is "uncultured Acidobacteria bacterium partial 16S ribosomal RNA". The record is from RNAcentral. Lineage: Bacteria; Pseudomonadati; Acidobacteriota.